UCUAGCUGCGGGCCAGAGGUCGAGGUAAACGGAGGGGUGCAAACGGUGCUCGGAAGUUGUGGGUGUAAAGCGCACGGAGGCGGCUUAGCAAGUCCCAUGUUAAAGCCCACGGCUUAACCGUGGAAGUGGAUGGGAAACUGCUGAGCUUGAGUUCUUAAGAGGAUCGCGGAAUUCCCGGUGUAGAGGUGAAAUUCGUAGAUAUCGGGAGGAACACCAGUGGCGAAGGCGGCGAUCUGGGAAGAUACUGACGCUGAGGUGCGAAAGCGUGGGGAGCAAACAGGAUUAGAUACCCGUGUAGUC
RNAcentral lists this ribosomal RNA (300 nucleotides) under uncultured Bacillus sp. RNAcentral describes it as "bacterial SSU rRNA". It matches the Rfam family "Bacterial small subunit ribosomal RNA", at positions 496 to 795 of the family's 1533-position model. The record is from RNAcentral. Lineage: Bacteria; Bacillati; Bacillota; Bacilli; Caryophanales; Bacillaceae.